Molecule: non-coding RNA, 377 nt
Organism: Penaeus vannamei (Pacific white shrimp)
Lineage: Eukaryota; Metazoa; Arthropoda; Malacostraca; Decapoda; Penaeidae
Source: RefSeq, a predicted model, not a curated record
ACGACAUCGCACUGGUAGAGCUGCCGCAACCUCUGAAUUAUGCGUCCGACGCCAAUAUCCAACCGAUCUGCUUGGGACUGGAAGAGGACAUACCCUUCGGAGGCAAGGCGGUGGCGUCGGGAUGGGGAGCCCUGUCGUUUGGUGGGUCAUCACCUGACGUCCUGCAGGAAGUAGAGUUAGAUAUCAUCACAAUAGACGAGUGUCAGCAGAAGGCUUCUUUACCGCCAGACACAAACUCGGUUGUAUGUGCUCUGACUCUCUAUAAGGAUACCUGUCAGGGUGACAGCGGUGGUCCUCUUGUUGCGAAACUUUGUGACGGCACCUGGGCUCAAAUCGGAAUUGUCAGCUAUGGUUUCCAGUGUGCCGUCCCUGACAAC